This 468-nucleotide ribosomal RNA is filed under the name uncultured bacterium. RNAcentral describes it as "partial 16S ribosomal RNA". It matches the Rfam family "Bacterial small subunit ribosomal RNA", at positions 28 to 507 of the family's 1533-position model. The record is from RNAcentral.
GACGAACGCUGGCGGCGUGCUUAACACAUGCCAGUCGAACGGAAAGGCCCUGCUUUUGUGGGGUGCUCGAGUGGCGAACGGGUGAGUAACACGUGAGUAACCUGCCCUUGACUUUGGGAUAACUUCAGGAAACUGGGGCUAAUACCGGAUAGGAGCUCCUGCUGCAUGGUGGGGGUUGGAAAGUUUCGGCGGGUGGGGAUGGACUCGCGGCUUAUCAGCUUGUUGGUGGGGUAGUGGCUUACCAAGGCUUUGACGGGUAGCCGGCCUGAGAGGGUGACCGGCCACAUUGGGACUGAGAUACGGCCCAGACUGCAACGGGAGGCAGCAGUGGGGAAUAUUGCACAAUGGGCGGAAGCCUGAUGCAGCAACGCCGCGGGCGGGAUGACGGCCUUCGGGUUGUAAACCGCUUUCGCCUGUGACGAAGCGUGAGUGACGGUAAUGGGUAAAGAAGCACCGGCUAACUACGUG